CUUCCAGGGGUUGGGCGUGUCUACCUUUUCAGUAGAAUAGGGCACUUGUGGCUGUUUCUAUUGCUCUGCCAGCUUCCUUCUGGAGGUGAAGUAAAAUUUGCGCUUGAAGACUUUCUUCAGGAAGGCAAAUUUGUCCCUGCUUUCUCUGGAAUCCUGUUUGGCUUUUACCCUUGAGUACCCACUAAUGAUGCUGGGACUGACUUCUGCCACUAACUCCUUCAUGUCACACCUCCAGUUCUCCAAACAGGAAAAUAAAAUGCCCCCAAGGAGCAAUGCAGCCCUGUGGUGUGGUGUUUAUGGUCAGUUUGACCAGAUCUGUAAUCCAAGAGACAAGUCUUCAUGAUCAAGUGUGCCUCAGGUCACUCACUGCUGAUGAGGAUUUACAUUGACCGAGUUCAUGGACUAGGAAGACCCACCCUAAAUGUAUUAUCAUUCCCUGGGUUCAGAUACCCAGGAAGCUACUAGAGGAAGCUAGUUCAGCUGCCUCGGCUCUCCCACUACGAUGGACCCCUUGAACUGUGACACACACACACAAAAAAUCCUUGCUUAGGCCAUUUUUGCAUGGUGUCUGGCCACAGCAGUGGGAGAAGCAGUUAAGACAAGCUUCCAUCACAAACAGAUGGAGAAGAAGAUACUGUAGAAAAAG
This 646-nucleotide long non-coding RNA is filed under the name Cricetulus griseus (Chinese hamster). RNAcentral's name for it is "lncRNA (ENSCGRG00015029189.1)". The record is from RNAcentral. Lineage: Eukaryota; Metazoa; Chordata; Mammalia; Rodentia; Cricetidae.